RNAcentral lists this ribosomal RNA (1713 nucleotides) under Triticum aestivum (bread wheat). RNAcentral describes it as "partial small subunit ribosomal RNA". Lineage: Eukaryota; Viridiplantae; Streptophyta; Magnoliopsida; Poales; Poaceae. The record is from RNAcentral.
AUGCAUACUGUUGCAUUCAACGGUACUGAUAACCUAGAGGAUGUUAUGAACCGACCGUCCUCUUCCCAAACCAUGCUCACAGAAUACUUUAGGAUGAAUGAGGUGGACCCUUAUGCACGAAACUUCUUGUAUAAAGAGUUCCCAGAAUUCUUUCGAUGGAUUAAGGGUAAGAAAAAGUGGCAGAAAAGAAGCCAAAGGGGGCGCGGGCAAGUUGGAAGGAUUGUUUAUGCACAUGCUGCUGAUGGUGAAAGGUACUUUCUGAGAGUGCUUCUGAAUCAUAGAAGUGGUGCCACUUCAUAUGAGGAUUUGAGAACUGUAAAUGGAAGGCUCUGCUCGACUUUCAGGGAAGCGUGUGAGCUCAUGGGCCUAAUAGAGACUGACGAAUCUCUUGACGACUGCUUGACCGAGUCUGCUACUUUCCAGAUGCCAUGUGCUCUAAGAAGGCUUUUUGCAACUAUUCUUGUAUUCUGUGAGGCGACCAACACCCGUGCAUUGUGGGAGAAGCACCUGGGGUCAAUGUCUGAGGAUUACCGUCGUACCCAGUCCAACCAGGCUGCGCUGGAACAGAUGGUCCUUAGAGACAUCUGGGAUUUGGUGCAUUCGAUGGGCACAUAUAUUAAAAGCUAUGGCCUCCCGGAGCUGGUUGAGACCGGUGAUGGUUCUGGUGACCUCCUAAGGGAGGUUCGAGAGGAGUUGUUGGUCGGUGUGGAUCAAGAGCAUUUAGAUCUGUAUACAUCCCUGAACAUUGAGCAGAGGGCUGGGUUUGAGGAAAUCUUGGAUCACGUGGUGAACAAUAGGAAACAGGUUUUCUUUGUUGAUGGUCCUGGUGGCACGGAUAAGACUUAUCUCUACAAGGCGCUUCUUGCUAAAGUGCGUUCAUUGGGUAAAAUAGCUAUUGCAACCACGACAUCCGGAAUAGCCGCAUCAAUCAUGCCCGGUGGACGUACCGCCCACUCCAGGUUCAAAAUUCUGGUUAAGCUCAUGGAUAAUAGCAUCUGCAGCUUCACCAAGCAGAGUGGUACUGCGGAGUUGCUUCAGAGAGCAUCUCUCGUAAUUUGGGAUGAGGUUGCCAUGACGAAGCGUCAAGCAGUUGAGGCACUUGAUAGGUCACUACAGGAUAUCAUGGGAUGUGUUAUGCCAUUUGGGGGGAAGGUUGUGGUGUUUGGAGGGGAUUUUAGGCAGGUCCUUCCCGUGGUCCCGCGUGGGACAAGAGCACAAAUCACUGACGCCACGAUGCAAAGAUCAUAUCUAUGGGAGAGAAUUAGACAAAUACGCCUCACGCGUAAUAUGAGAGCACAGACUGACCCGUGGUUCUCCAAAUACCUCUUGAGAAUUGGCAAUGGAACGGAGGAGACGAUCGGUGAUGAUUAUGUACGUCUGCCUGAUGACAUUGUGAUAGGUUACACACCUGGUGACGCACCAGUCAUGAAGCUUAUUGAACACGUGUUCCCAUCUCUUCAUGAGAACGCAUCACCCGGUGCCUACAUGAGCACACAUGCUAUUCUUUCUACCAAGAAUGAGCACGUGGACAACCUAAAUGCAAAGAUGAUUGACAGAUUUCCUGGCCAAGAAAAGGUAUACUAUAGCUUUGAUUCUAUCGAUGAUGAUACACGCAAUAACUACCCAAUUGACUAUCUGAACAACCUCACUCCAAAUGGCUUGCCUCCCCAUAUUUUGAAAGUUAAAGUUAAUUGUCCUGUCAUUCUGCUCUGA